RNAcentral lists this long non-coding RNA (270 nucleotides) under Elaeis guineensis (African oil palm). RNAcentral's name for it is "long non-coding RNA (EGUI_LNC029936)". The record is from RNAcentral. Lineage: Eukaryota; Viridiplantae; Streptophyta; Magnoliopsida; Arecales; Arecaceae.
AAAUCCCUCCCAUAAUGCACCUCCGCCUCCUCCGAUGGCCCACCUCACCAUCCAACAUGCCGUGGCAGGGUGCGGCUUCUCCAUCCAAUCUUUUCCAUCCGUGCCUCUGUCUCCUCCGGCUAUCCCUUGUAUCUCGCCAAUAUCUUAGGUCCCAUGGCUAGGGUUUUUUGUGUUCUUCCCCUCCCUUUCUUUCUUCUCUACCACCGCUGUUCUGAAGACUACCGAGGCUAAGUUUGACACUUCGAUCGGGCUUACCGCUUGUCGAAGGUG